RNAcentral lists this ribosomal RNA (252 nucleotides) under uncultured bacterium. RNAcentral's name for it is "partial 16S ribosomal RNA". It matches the Rfam family "Bacterial small subunit ribosomal RNA", at positions 524 to 776 of the family's 1533-position model. The record is from RNAcentral.
UACGUAGGUCCCGAGCGUUGUCCGGAUUUAUUGGGCGUAAAGCGAGCGCAGGUGGUUCAUUAAGUCUGGUGUAAAAGGCAGUGGCUCAACCAUUGUAUGCAUUGGAAACUGGUAGACUUGAGUGCAGGAGAGGAGAGUGGAAUUCCAUGUGUAGCGGUGAAAUGCGUAGAUAUAUGGAGGAACACCGGUGGCGAAAGCGGCUCUCUGGCCUGUAACUGACACUGGGGCUCGAAAGCGUGGGGAGCAAACAGG